This 1241-nucleotide ribosomal RNA is filed under the name metagenome. RNAcentral describes it as "bacterial LSU rRNA". It matches the Rfam family "Bacterial large subunit ribosomal RNA", at positions 1564 to 2815 of the family's 2925-position model. The record is from RNAcentral.
UGAAUACGAGAUGCUACGGCGUCGAAGCAGUCUAUGUCAUACUUCCAAGAAAAGCUUGCACUGUCAUAAACAAAUAAUGCCUGUACCAUAACCGACACAGGUGGGUAAGUAGAGUAUACUAAGGGGCGCGAGAUAACUCUCUCUAAGGAACUCGGCAAAAUGACUCCGUAACUUCGGGAGAAGGAGUGCCUUAUUUAUAAGGUUGCAAUAACAAGAUCCAAGCAACUGUUUACCAAAAACACAGGUCUCCGCUAAGUCGUAAGACGAUGUAUGGGGGCUGACGCCUGCCCAGUGCCAGAAGGUUAAAGAAGUUGGUUAGCAUCCGCGAAGCUGAUAACUGAAGCCCUGGUGAACGGCGGCCGUAACGAUAACGGUCCUAAGGUAGCGAAAUUCCUUGUCGGGUAAGUUCCGACCCGCACGAAAGGCGUAAUGAUUUGGAUACUGUCUCGGAGAGGGGCUCGGUGAAAUAGACUUGUCUGUGAAGAUGCGGACUACCUGCACCAGGACAGAAAGACCCUAUGAAGCUUUACUGUAACCUGAAAUUGAAAUUGGACUUUACUUGCGCAGUAUAGGUGGGAGGCGUUGAGAAUAUUCUUGCGGGAUUAUUGGAGCCAUCAGUGAGAUACCACUCUUGUAAUGUUAGAUUUCUAACUUUGUAUCAUUAUCUGGUCAAAGAACAGUUUCAGGCGGGCAGUUUGACUGGGGCGGUCGCCUCCUAAACGGUAACGGAGGCGCACAAAGGUUUCCUCUGAACGGGUAGAAAUCGUAUCUAGAGUGUAAAGGCAUAAGGAAGCUUGACUGUGAGACCUACAAGUCGAGCAGGGACGAAAGUCGGUCUUAGUGAUCUGACGGUGCUGAGUGGAAAGGCCGUCACUCAACGGAUAAAAGUUACUCUAGGAUAACAGUCUGAUCUCCCCCAAGAGUUCACAUCGACGGGGAGGUUUGGCACCUCGAUGUCGGCUCAUCGCAUCCUGGGGCGGUAGUACGUCCCAAGGGUUGGGCUGUUCGCCCAUGAAAGCGGUACGCGAGCUGGGUUCAGAACGUCGUGAGACAGUUCGGUCCAUAUCCGGUGUAGGCGUUAGAAUAUUGAGAGGAGCCUUCUUUAGUACGAGAGGACCGAGAAGGACAUACCUCUGGUGUACCAGUUAUCGUGCCAACGGUAAACGCUGGGUAGCUAUGUGUGGAGUGGAUAACCGCUGAAAGCAUCUAAGUGGGAAGCCCACCUCAAGAUAAGUAUUCUC